This 1031-nucleotide ribosomal RNA is filed under the name Cyclaneusma minus. RNAcentral's name for it is "SSU rRNA". It matches the Rfam family "Eukaryotic small subunit ribosomal RNA", at positions 75 to 1115 of the family's 1831-position model. The record is from RNAcentral. Lineage: Eukaryota; Fungi; Ascomycota; Leotiomycetes; Marthamycetales; Marthamycetaceae.
UAUACUGUGAAACUGCGAAUGGCUCAUUAUAUCAGUUAUCGUUUAUUUGAUAGUACCUACCUACAUGGAUAACCGUGGUAAUUCUAGAGCUAAUACAUGCUAAAAGCCUCGACUUCGGAAGGGGUGUAUUUAUUAGAUAAAAAACCAAUGCCCUUCGGGGCUUCUUGGUGAUUCAUAAUAACUAAACGAAUCGCAUGGCCUUGUGCCGGCGAUGGUUCAUUCAAAUUUCUGCCCUAUCAACUUUCGAUGUUAGUGUAGUGGACUAACAUGGUUUCAACGGGUAACGGGGAAUUAGGGUUCUAUUCCGGAGAGGGAGCCUGAGAAACGGCUACCACAUCCAAGGAAGGCAGCAGGCGCGCAAAUUACCCAAUCCCGAUACGGGGAGGUAGUGACAAUAAAUACUGAUACAGGGCUCUUUUGGGUCUUGUAAUUGGAAUGAGUACAGUUUAAAUCCCUUAACGAGGAACAAUUGGAGGGCAAGUCUGGUGCCAGCAGCCGCGGUAAUUCCAGCUCCAAUAGCGUAUAUUAAAGUUGUUGCAGUUAAAAAGCUCGUAGUUGAACCUUGGGCCUGGCUGGCCGGUCCGCCUCACCGCGUGCACUGGUCCGGCCGGGUCUUUCCUUCUGGGGAACCGCAUGCCCUUCAUUGGGUGUGUUGGGGAUCCAGGACUUUUACUUUGAAAAAAUUAGAGUGUUCAAAGCAGGCCUAUGCUCGAAUACAUUAGCAUGGAAUAAUAGAAUAGGACGUGUGGUUCUAUUUUGUUGGUUUCUAGGACCGCCGUAAUGAUUAAUAGGGAUAGUCGGGGGCAUCAGUAUUCCGUUGUCAGAGGUGAAAUUCUUGGAUUUACGGAAGACUAACUACUGCGAAAGCAUUUGCCAAGGAUGUUUUCAUUAAUCAGUGAACGAAAGUUAGGGGAUCGAAGACGAUCAGAUACCGUCGUAGUCUUAACCAUAAACUAUGCCGACUAGGGAUCGGGCGAUGUUAUUUUUUGACUCGCUCGGCACCUUACGAGAAAUCAAAGUCUUUGGGUUCU